UGAGCGCUGAGGUGUUUCCCGCAGCCCGAGCUCGGCCCCAGGGUCGCGCUGAGGGGAAACGUGACGGCUCCUGCCCGGCCUCAUGCCCGGCCUCAUGCCCGGCCUGCCGCUGCCCUCCAGCCCCCUGUAGGAGCCGGGCUGUCCUCCUGCCCACAGCCCCCGAGCUUGGUGCGGUAACGUCCUGUCCCUGCCUGAUGCGCCUGGAUUAGUCACCCGCCCUGUGAGCGCGGCCGUGAAGUGCCGCCUAUCUUUAGACCGAAAAACGAAGACACCCUGUGCCCAACAGUCGUCACGCUGAUGCACGAGGAGAUAGAAGCAGAUGCACCUGCAAAUACAAAACUUGAAAGUUCAAAUAACAAGAUUGUAAGAUGGAAUGAUACAAAGAACAGGAUGAGAGAUUUCUGUGCCCCCCAAGACUACAGAGGGAUGUCUAACACCCUUCAUUGACCAAAACAGCUCUUCAGUCAAUGAAAAGCCAAAGCAUUUCCAUCAUUUCAGCACAAUGUUCUGCUUUGAUUGCAGAACAAUAGAACAUCAUCUGGCAAUUCAGUUAGAAUAUUAUCUGAUAAAAAGUGCAAAUAUUAGA
Molecule: non-coding RNA, 586 nt
Organism: Coturnix japonica (Japanese quail)
Lineage: Eukaryota; Metazoa; Chordata; Aves; Galliformes; Phasianidae
Source: RefSeq, a predicted model, not a curated record